Molecule: ribosomal RNA, 396 nt
Filed under: uncultured bacterium
Lineage: Bacteria
Description: partial 16S ribosomal RNA
Rfam family: Bacterial small subunit ribosomal RNA
Source: RNAcentral
AAUAUUGCACAAUGGGGGAAACCCUGAUGCAGCGACGCCGCGUGAGCGAAGAAGGCCUUCGGGUCGUAAAGCUCUGUCCUAAGGGAAGAAACGGACGGUACCUUAGGAGGAAGCCCCGGCUAACUAUGUGCCAGCAGCCGCGGUAAUACGUAGGGGGCGAGCGUUAUCCGGUAUUAUUGGGCGUAAAGGGUGCGUAGGCGGCGUUUUAAGUCAGAUGUUAUAGGCUCCGGCUUAAUCGUAGUUAACUUUUGGAACUAAAAGGCUUGAGUGCGGGAGCGGGGAGAGGAAUUCCUAGUGUGGGGGUGAAAUACGUGGAUAGUAGGGGGAACACCAGUGGGUAGGGAGGCUCGCUGGUCCAUUCCUAACGCUGGGGUACGAAAGCGUGGGGGGCAAACA